GCUGACUCUAAAGCUACAAUACUGCUAAUGAGACACCACCCCAUCCCACCGAAGCAGGACAGGGAGGAGCCCCUCUUUCUUCCCAGAGCGGAUCAUCGGGGG
This is a long non-coding RNA of Gopherus evgoodei (Goodes thornscrub tortoise), 102 nucleotides long. RefSeq lists it as uncharacterized. The transcript has 4 exons. The record is from RefSeq and is a predicted model, not a curated record. Lineage: Eukaryota; Metazoa; Chordata; Testudines; Testudinidae.